Aethalodelphis obliquidens (Pacific white-sided dolphin) is the source of this 127-nucleotide long non-coding RNA. RefSeq lists it as uncharacterized. The transcript has 4 exons. The record is from RefSeq and is a predicted model, not a curated record. NCBI's taxonomy places the organism in Eukaryota, Metazoa, Chordata, Mammalia, Artiodactyla, Delphinidae.
CUCCAUGGAACAAAACAGAGAGCCGAGAAAUGGACCCACACUUAUAUGACCAAUUAAUAAAUGACAAAGGAAGCAAGAAUACACAAUGGAGAAAAGAUAGCCUCUUCAAAUAAAUGAUGUUCAGAAA